CCUACGGGGUGCUGCAGUGGGGAAUAUUGGACAAUGGGCGAAAGCCUGAUCCAGCCAUGCCGCGUGUGUGAAGAAGGCCUUCGGGUUGUAAAGCACUUUCAGUGGGGAAGAAAGCCUUGGGGCUAAUACCCUCGAGGAAGGACAUCACCCACAGAAGAAGCACCGGCUAACUCCGUGCCAGCAGCCGCGGUAAUACGGAGGGUGCGAGCGUUAAUCGGAAUUACUGGGCGUAAAGCGCGCGUAGGCGGUCUGAUAAGCCGGUUGUGAAAGCCCCGGGCUCAACCUGGGAACGGCAUCCGGAACUGUCAGGCUAGAGUGCAGGAGAGGAAGGUAGAAUUCCCGGUGUAGCGGUGAAAUGCGUAGAGAUCGGGAGGAAUACCAGUGGCGAAGGCGGCCUUCUGGACUGACACUGACGCUGAGGUGCGAAAGCGUGGGUAGCAAACAGGAUUAGAUACCCCAGUAAUC
This 465-nucleotide ribosomal RNA is filed under the name Vreelandella stevensii. RNAcentral describes it as "partial 16S ribosomal RNA". It matches the Rfam family "Bacterial small subunit ribosomal RNA", at positions 338 to 795 of the family's 1533-position model. The record is from RNAcentral. Lineage: Bacteria; Pseudomonadati; Pseudomonadota; Gammaproteobacteria; Oceanospirillales; Halomonadaceae.